RNAcentral lists this long non-coding RNA (376 nucleotides) under Mytilus galloprovincialis (Mediterranean mussel). The record is from RNAcentral. Lineage: Eukaryota; Metazoa; Mollusca; Bivalvia; Mytilida; Mytilidae.
GGUUUGAACAUCGGCAGCAGCUGCCUCUUGUUUAUUUUUGUUAAAACCAUAUUGUGUAACAUUGUUUUUAAAAAACGUUUUUAUUUAUGGUAGUUACACCCUAAAACAGCAUCCAGUUUGUCAUAAGGUUUAGCCUAUUUUAAAAAUAUCUAACCAAAAGUUUAUCCGCUUGCCAUUACCUUCUUUGAAAAUCUCAGUCAUGUUUUGGUUCCGUUCAAGACAUUUUUAUCAUAACCUAUCAAACGUCAUUUUUGUAAAAAAAAUUAUAUAUAUCGUUAUAUCGUUUCGUUUCGUUUCGUAAUUGUCAUUGUGUUUCGGUUUUGUUUCUCAUUCAAGCACAACCCACCUAAUGGUCCACGUAAUCGUCAUUUAAAAC